RNAcentral lists this ribosomal RNA (624 nucleotides) under uncultured bacterium. RNAcentral describes it as "bacterial SSU rRNA". It matches the Rfam family "Bacterial small subunit ribosomal RNA", at positions 146 to 768 of the family's 1533-position model. The record is from RNAcentral.
GCCUUCUGAAAGGAAGAUUAAUACAAGAUGGCAUCAUGAGUUCACAUGUUCACAUGAUUAAAGGUAUUCCGGUAGACGAUGGGGAUGCGUUCCAUUAGAUAGUAGGCGGGGUAACGGCCCACCUAGUCUUCGAUGGAUAGGGGUUCUGAGAGGAAGGUCCCCCACAUUGGAACUGAGACACGGUCCAAACUCCUACGGGAGGCAGCAGUGAGGAAUAUUGGUCAAUGGGCGCAGGCCUGAACCAGCCAAGUAGCGUGAAGGAUGACCGCCCUAUGGGUUGUAAACUUCUUUUAUAAAGGAAUAAAGUCGGGUAUGUAUACCCGUUUGCAUGUACUUUAUGAAUAAGGAUCGGUUAACUCCGUGCCAGCAGCCGCGGUAAUACGGAGGAUCCGAGCGUUAUCCGGAUUUAUUGGGUUUAAAGGGAGCGUAGAUGGAUGUUUAAGUCAGUUGUGAAAGUUUGCGGCUCAACCGUAAAAUUGCAGUUGAUACUGGAUAUCUUGAGUGCAGUUGAGGCAGGCGGAAUUCGUGGUGUAGCGGUGAAAUGCUUAGAUAUCACGAAGAACUCCGAUUGCGAAGGCAGCCUGCUAAGCUGCAACUGACAUUGAGGCUCGAAAGUGUGGGUAU